Molecule: non-coding RNA, 92 nt
Filed under: uncultured Ureibacillus sp.
Lineage: Bacteria; Bacillati; Bacillota; Bacilli; Caryophanales; Caryophanaceae
Description: Purine riboswitch
Rfam family: Purine riboswitch aptamer
About the family: Riboswitches are metabolite binding domains within certain messenger RNAs that serve as precision sensors for their corresponding targets.
Source: RNAcentral
UAUUAAUAUUUUCACUCAUAUAAUGGCGGGAAUAUGGCUCGCAAGUUUCUACCGACUUACCGUAAAUAAGUCGACUAUGAGAGGCAACGUUU